Molecule: long non-coding RNA, 2403 nt
Organism: Callithrix jacchus (white-tufted-ear marmoset)
Lineage: Eukaryota; Metazoa; Chordata; Mammalia; Primates; Cebidae
Source: Ensembl
AUGGGCAUGCACGCCCCACCCCACACACACAUCACAUACACACACACCACCUACCACACACCCCACAUACACCAUACCUCACACACACACCACCUACCACAUACUGCACAUACCACACACACCACACACACACCACCUACCACACACCAUACACACCCCACAUACCACACACCACUCACCACACACACACGACCUACCACAUACCGCACAUACCACACACUGCACGCACACCCCACCCCCCACACACAUCACAUACACACACACCACCUACCACACACCCCACAUACACCAUACCUCACACACACACCACCUACCACAUACUGCACAUACCACACACACCACACACACACCACCUACCACACACCAUACACACCCCACAUACCACACACCACUCACCACACACACACGACCUACCACAUACCGCACAUACCACACACUGCACGCACACCCCACCCCCCACACACAUCACAUACACACACACCACCUACCACACACCCCCCACACACCAUACCACACACACACCACCUACCACAUACCGCACAUACCACACACCCCACAUACACCAUACCUCACACACACACCACCUACCACAUACCGCACAUACCACACACACCACACACACACCACCUACCACACACCCCACACACACAGCACACACCAUACACACCCCACAUACCACACACCACUCACCACACACACACCACCUACCACAUACUGCACAUACCACACACACCACACACACACCACCUACCACACACCCCACACACACCAUACCUCACACACACCACCUACCACAUACCGCACAUACCACACACUGCACGCACACCCCACCCCCUACACACAUCACAUACACACCACCUACCACACACCCCACACACACCAUACCACACACACACCACCUACCACAUACUGCACAUACCACACACACCACACACACACCACCUACCACAUACUGCACAUACCACACACUGCAUGCAUACCCCACCCCUCACACACAUCACAUACACACCACCUACCACACACCCCACACACACCAUACCACACACACACCACCUACCACAUACCGCACAUACCACACACUGCACGCAUACCCCACCCCCCACACACAUCACAUACACACCACCUACCACACACCCCACACACACCAUACCACACACACACCACCUACCACAUACUGCACAUACACACACACCACACACACAGCACACACCAUACACACCCCACAUACCACACACCACUCACCACACACAUCACAUACCACCUACCACACACCCCACACACACCAUACCACACACACACCACCUACCACAUACUGCACAUACCACACACACCACACACACCAUACCACACACACACCACCUACCACAUACCGCACAUACCACACACUGCACGCACACCCCACCCCCACACACAUCACAUACACACCACCUACCACACACAUCACAUACACACCACCUACCACACACCCCACACACACCAUACCACACACACACCACCUACCACAUACCGCACAUACCACACACACCACACACACACCACCUACCACACACCCCACACACACCAUACCUCACACACACACCACCUACCACAUACCGCACAUACCACACACUGCACGCACACCCCACCCCCUACACACAUCACAUACACACCACCUACCACACACCCCCCACACACCAUACCACACACACACACCACCUACCACAUACUGCACAUACCACACACACCACACACACACCACCUACCACACACCCCACACACACCAUACCUCACACACACCACCUACCACAUACUGCACAUACCACACACACCACACACACAGCACCUACCACACACCAUACACACCCCACAUACCACACACCACUCACCACACACACACGACCUACCACAUACAAUAAACACCCACAUACCACACACACACCACCUACUACACACACACCACUCACCACACACAAACCACCUACCGCACACCACACACACCCCACAUACCACACAUCACACACACCACACACACACCACCCACCACACUCCAUACACACCCCACAUAUCACACGCCACACAUACCACACACACACACCACCUACCACACACACACAACCCACCACACACACACCACUUAGGCACAAACACACACCACAGGUACACACAACACACACACAAACCCCACACACCAAACACCACACACACACUACCUACCACAUGCUACACACACUCCACAUACCACACACACACAACACAGACACACACAACAAACGACACAUACACCCCACACCUCACACACCACAUACACAUAUCACCCACCCCACACACAGCACACCCCACACACACACCACCCACCACACACACACCCAACACACACCCCACAUACACACCACCCACUACCCACAUACCACAGACACCCCAUAA